RNAcentral lists this transfer RNA (73 nucleotides) under Cordylochernes scorpioides. RNAcentral describes it as "tRNA-Val". Lineage: Eukaryota; Metazoa; Arthropoda; Arachnida; Pseudoscorpiones; Chernetidae. The record is from RNAcentral.
UGUUCCCGCCCGGGAUCGAACCGGGGACCUUGUGCGUGUGAAGCACACGUGAUAACCGCUACACCAUGGAAAC